This 497-nucleotide ribosomal RNA is filed under the name uncultured bacterium. Its description in RNAcentral is "partial 16S ribosomal RNA". It matches the Rfam family "Bacterial small subunit ribosomal RNA", at positions 28 to 507 of the family's 1533-position model. The record is from RNAcentral.
GAUGAACGCUGGCGGCGUGCCUAAUACAUGCAAGUCGAGCGAACAGAUAAGGAGCUUGCUCCUUUGACGUUAGCCGCGGACGGGUGAGUAACACGUGGGUAACCUACCUAUAAGACUGGGAUAACUUCGGGAAACCGGAGCUAAUACCGGAUAAUAUUUCGAACCGCAUGGUUCGUUAGUGAAAGAUGGUUUUGCUAUCACUUAUAGAUGGACCCGCGCCGUAUUAGCUAGUUGGUAAGGUAACGGCUUACCAAGGCGACGAUACGUAGCCGACCUGAGAGGGUGAUAGGCCACACUGGAACUGAGACACGGUCCAGACUCCUACGGGAGGCAGCAGUAGGGAAUCUUCCGCAAUGGGCGAAAGCCUGACGGAGCAACGCCGCGUGAGUGAUGAAGGUCUUCGGAUCGUAAAACUCUGUUAUUAGGGAAGAACAUACGUGUAAGUAACUGUGCACGUCUUGACGGUACCUAAUCAGAAAGCCACGGCUAACUACGUG